RNAcentral lists this non-coding RNA (30 nucleotides) under Rattus norvegicus (Norway rat). Lineage: Eukaryota; Metazoa; Chordata; Mammalia; Rodentia; Muridae. The record is from RNAcentral.
UGUCUUCGUUAUUUGUGUAGGGAAGUUGUG